GACGAACGCUGGCGGCGUGCUUAACACAUGCAAGUCGAACGGAAAGGCCCUGCUUUUGUGGGGUGCUCGAGUGGCGAACGGGUGAGUAACACGUGAGUAACCUGCCCUUGACUUUGGGAUAACUUCAGGAAACUGGGGCUAAUACCGGAUAGGAGCUCCUGCUGCAUGGUGGGGGUUGGAAAGUUUCGGCGGUUGGGGAUGGACUCGCGGCUUAUCAGCUUGUUGGUGGGGUAGUGGCUUACCAAGGCUUUGACGGGUAGCCGGCCUGAGAGGGUGACCGGCCACAUUGGGACUGAGAUACGGCCCAGACUCCUACGGGAGGCAGCAGUGGGGAAUAUUGCACAAUGGGCGGAAGCCUGAUGCAGCAACGCCGCGUGCGGGAUGACGGCCUUCGGGUUGUAAACCGCUUUCGCCUGUGACGAAGCGUGAGUGACGGUAAUGGGUAAAGAAGCACCGGCUAACUACGUGCCAGCGGCCGCGGUGAUACGUAGGGUGCGAGCGUUGUCCGGAUUUAUUGGGCGUAAAGGGCUCGUAGGUGGUUGAUCGCGUCGGAAGUGUAAUCUUGGGGCUUAACCCUGAGCGUGCUUUCGAUACGGGUUGACUUGAGGAAGGUAGGGGAGAAUGGAUUUCCUGGUGGAGCGGUGGAAUGCGCAGAUAUCAGGAGGAACACCAGUGGCGAAGGCGGUCUUCUGGGCCUUUCCUGACGCUGAGGAGCGAAAGCGUGGGGAGCGAACAGGCUUAGAUACCCUGGUAGUCCACGCUGUAAACGGUGGGUACUAGGUGUGGGGUCCAUUCCACGGGUUCCGUGCCGUAGCUAACGCUUUAAGUACCCCGCCUGGGGAGUACGGCCGCAAGGCUAAAACUCAAAGGAAUUGACGGGGCCCCGCACAAGCGGCGGAGCAUGCGGAUUAAUUCGAUGCAACGCGUAGAACCUUACCUGGGUUUGACAUGGAUCGGGAGUGCUCAGAGAUGGGUGUGCCUCUUUUGGGGUCGGUUCACAGGUGGUGCAUGGCUGUCGUCAGCUCGUGUCGUGAGAUGUUGGGUUAAGUCCCGCAACGAGCGCAACCCUUGUUCACUGUUGCCAGCACGUUAUGGUGGGGACUCAGUGGAGACCGCCGGGGUCAACUCGGAGGAAGGUGGGGAUGACGUCAAGUCAUCAUGCCCCUUAUGUCCAGGGCUUCACGCAUGCUACAAUGGCUGGUACAGAGAGUGGCGAGCCUGUGAGGGUGAGCGAAUCUCGGAAAGCCGGUCUCAGUUCGGAUUGGGGUCUGCAACUCGACCUCAUGAAGUCGGAGUCGCUAGUAAUCGCAGAUCAGCAACGCUGCGGUGAAUACGUUCCCGGGGCU
RNAcentral lists this ribosomal RNA (1346 nucleotides) under uncultured bacterium. RNAcentral's name for it is "partial 16S ribosomal RNA". It matches the Rfam family "Bacterial small subunit ribosomal RNA", at positions 28 to 1381 of the family's 1533-position model. The record is from RNAcentral.